CCUACGGGAGGCAGCAGUAGGGAAUAUUGCUCAAUGGGGGAAACCCUGAAGCAGCAACGCCGCGUGGAGGAUGAAGGUUUUAGGAUUGUAAACUCCUUUUGAUAGAGAAGAGGAUGACGGUAUCUAACGAAUAAGCACCGGCUAACUCCGUGCCAGCAGCCGCGGUAAUACGGAGGGGGCAAGCGUUACUCGGAAUCACUGGGCGUAAAGAGUGCGGAGGCGGGGGAAGAAGUCAGAUGUGAAAUCCUGUAGCUUAACUCCAGAACUGCCUUUGAAACGGUUACUCUGGAGUGUGGGAGAGGUAGUUGGACUUCUUUGUGUAGGGGUCCAAUCCGUCGAGCUC
RNAcentral lists this ribosomal RNA (343 nucleotides) under uncultured bacterium. Its description in RNAcentral is "partial 16S ribosomal RNA". It matches the Rfam family "Bacterial small subunit ribosomal RNA", at positions 338 to 698 of the family's 1533-position model. The record is from RNAcentral.